UGGUCUCCUCAGCUAUGUCCCUGUU
RNAcentral lists this non-coding RNA (25 nucleotides) under Rattus norvegicus (Norway rat). The record is from RNAcentral. Lineage: Eukaryota; Metazoa; Chordata; Mammalia; Rodentia; Muridae.